Molecule: ribosomal RNA, 508 nt
Filed under: uncultured bacterium
Lineage: Bacteria
Description: partial 16S ribosomal RNA
Rfam family: Bacterial small subunit ribosomal RNA
Source: RNAcentral
GAUGAACGCUAGCGACAGGCCUAACACAUGCAAGUCGAGGGGCAGCACAUGAGUAGCAAUACGAUGGUGGCGACCGGCGCACGGGUGAGUAACACGUAUGCAACCUACCGGUAAAAGGGGGAUAGCCUCUCGAAAGAGAGAUUAAUACCGCAUAAUAUCUCUGGAUGGCAUCAUUUAGAGAUUAAACAUUUAUGGUUUACCGAUGGGCAUGCGUAUGAUUAGCUAGUAGGUGAGGUAACGGCUCACCUAGGCAACGAUCAUUAGGGGUUCUGAGAGGAAGGUCCCCCACAUUGGAACUUAGACACGGUCCAGACUCCUACGGGAGGCAGCAGUGAGGAAUAUUGCGCAAUGGACGAAAGUCUGACGCAGCGACGCCGCGUGAAGGAUGAAGGUCUUCGGAUUGUAAACUUCUGUUAAGUGGGAAUAAAGUCUUGCAUUUAAUACAUGCAGGAGAUGAAGGUACCAUUAGAGAAAGCACCGGCUAACUUCGUGCCAGCCGCCGCCGUAA